Molecule: ribosomal RNA, 344 nt
Filed under: Acanthamoeba genotype T3
Lineage: Eukaryota; Discosea; Longamoebia; Acanthamoebidae
Description: SSU rRNA
Rfam family: Eukaryotic small subunit ribosomal RNA (bases 1-299)
Source: RNAcentral
GGAAUAGGACCCUGUCCUCCUAUUUUCAGUUGGUUUGCCGCGAGGACCAGGGUAAUGAUUAAUAGGGAUAGUUGGGGGCAUUAAUAUUUAAUUGUCAGAGGUGAAAUUCUUGGAUUUAUGAAAGAUUAACUUCUGCGAAAGCAUCUGCCAAGGAUGUUUUCAUUAAUCAAGAACGAAAGUUAGGGGAUCGAAGACGAUCAGAUACCGUCGUAGUCUUAACCAUAAACGAUGCCGACCAGCGAUUAGGAGACGUUGAAUACAAAACACCACCAUGCGCAUUGCGGUCGUCUUUGGUGUCGCUCACAAGGCGGCACCGGGGCGGCUUAGCUCGCAUGGCACCGGUG